UAGAGUACCCGACCGGGGAAAAACUGGACAGUGCGUUAUCCACAAGCGCACGCUCUCGAAGGCAAGCAACGACUGUGGCUCGAUUAGCCCUAGUUUGGGUAUUUUUCUUUGUUUAAUCAGCGACUAAGGCUAAUCUUAAGUGUGCCAAGAAGCACUUGUGAAUGCAAUUGAUAGUGCAUGCGGUACGAAUAUUCAAAUGAUAUAAUAUAAAGAGAAUACAAGUAUUAUAAUAUUGUCACAUUUCUGGCUCAGCUUGGACCUUACUCAACUAAGCGCUGAGAAAAGCUGUUCAGAUAAAACUGGGCUGGGAAAUCUCGGAACGAUUCAUAUGUUGGACUAGGUCAGAGCGAAUAAUACGGUCUGGUUUUUCAGAUAUCUUAACAAAACUUGGCAUAGACAAGCUCGCCCCUCAAACGCCCGCCCUCACCAAGAUAUACAUAUAUACAAUAUUGGGCGGGGUCGACCCCCCGUUUAAGUUCAGGGUUAGUUCUAGGCAAGGGCCAUUAUUUAUAGCCGUGAUAAGAUAGGCGUAGCUAAAAACAUUUCGCUGAUUAACGAUUAUUUCGAUAUGGGAGCGUUAACUACAUAAACGUGCACUUGUAUAUACAGAUAAGUUAACAGUUAAAGCAUGCAAGUAGAUAAGUUAACAGCUAAUCCUAAGCUUAAUCGAAGUGCUGUAUCUGCGGUUAGUUCGCGAUUUUAACAGUCUACACAAGUUUGGCACAUUCCUAAGUUUCUCAAAUAGUAUGAUAAUGAAGAUGAUGAUAAUGAAGAAGAAGAUGAUGAUGAUAAUGGAACAAGCCAAGCAGGCUGCCCGUUAUUGAAGCUUUAACUGUACAUGCACAACUGUUACUUUGUGCGUUUAGAAAUAAAGUAAACAAAGUGCGACAAUCUGUAAAUACAAUAAAUGUACAUAUUUAAAUAGA
Drosophila novamexicana is the source of this 926-nucleotide long non-coding RNA. RefSeq lists it as uncharacterized. The record is from RefSeq and is a predicted model, not a curated record. The transcript is spliced from 2 exons. NCBI's taxonomy places the organism in Eukaryota, Metazoa, Arthropoda, Insecta, Diptera, Drosophilidae.